Molecule: non-coding RNA, 25 nt
Filed under: Mus musculus (house mouse)
Lineage: Eukaryota; Metazoa; Chordata; Mammalia; Rodentia; Muridae
Source: RNAcentral
UAAUUGAGAAAUUUGUUGGACCAGG